ACAGAAAUAGAAUCUUGGAUAGAUCAAGAAGACUGUCAUUCAGUCAGUCAUACUGUUGAUUUUGAAAGUCAUUCAAAUGAUGCUUCACUAAAAUAUAAGCAGCUUUCAUCGAUGACGAAGUAAUGAACACUGCUGCCGUCGGCAACAAAUUACGUUAUGAAUGUGAGUUGUGCAAUAAAAGAUUUUCAUGCCCAAGCAAUCUAGCAGCACAUACAAAUACACAUACUGGGGACAAACCUUAUGAAUGUGAUGUUUGCAAGAAGCGAUUUGCACACCCAAGCACCUUAGCUGGACAUAAAAGGAUACAUACAGGUACAGUAGCAAAGCCUUAUGAAUGUGAUAUUUGCAAGAAGAGAUGCCCAACUCCAAGCAAACUAGUAAUACAUAAAAAAUCACACGACAAACUUUAUGUGUGCGAUGUUUGCAAGAAACGAUUUUCACUUCCAAGUGGCUUAGCGACGCACAAACGAAUACGUCAAUGUGGAGACAAACCUUUUGAAUGUGAUGUCUGCAACAAACAGCUUUUGAAUGCAAAGAAUCUCGCAGUGCAUAAAAAUACACAUGACAAAUCUUAUGAAUGUGAAAUUUGCAACAAAAAAUUCUCACGUUCAAGCGACCUGGUUAGACAUAAGAGAACACAUACCGGAGAGAAGCCCUAUGAGUGUGAUGUUUGCAAAAAACGAUUUUCAGACUAUGCUAACUUGUCAGUGCAUAAACGAAUACACACUGGGGACAAACCUUAUGAAUGUGAUAUUUGCAAAUUGAGGUUUGUCCAGUCGUGCCACUUAGUCCGACAUAAAGUAACGCAUUCUGGGGAGAAGCGUUAUCAAUGUGAUGUUUGCAGCAAAGCAUUUUCCGUGCCUGUUGAGUUAGAGAGACACAAAAGAAGAAAACAUACUGGAGACAGACCACAUGAAUGCGAUGUUUGCAACAAAAGAUUUCUACAUCCAAGUGACGUAAUAGCACACAAGCGAAUACACACCGGGGAGAGACCGUAUGAAUGUGAUGUUUGCCAUAAACAAUUUUCAGUAUCCAGCAAUUUAGAAAGACAUAAAAGAGUGCAUAGUGGGGUUAAACCUCAUGAAUGUGAUGUGUGCAAGAAACGAUUUUCCCAAUCAAGCCACUUAGGGAGACAUAUAAAUGCAUCACAUAAGGGAUUUUCAAACCCAAGCAAGUUAGCUGGACAAUAUAAAUCAUAUGAAUGUGAUGUUUGCAACAAACGAUUUUCUGUUUCCAGUAAUUUGAAAACACACAAAAGGACACAUUCUGGAGACAAGCCAUAUGAAUGUGCCGUUUGUGGUAGAAAAUUUUCGCAAUCUGGCCACUUGGUUAGACAUACAAGAACACAUACCUGUGACAAACCUUAUGAAUGUGAUGUUUGCAAAAAACGUUUUUCAGACCAAGGUAACUUUGCCUUUCAUAAACAAAUGCAUACUGGAGACAAGCCCUAUCAGUGUGACACUUGCACGAAAAGAUUUUCAGACCCAAGUAACUUGAGAUCACAUAAAAUAACACAUACUGGUGCCAAACUGCAUGAAGGUGAUGUUUGCCAAAAAGGGGACUUGAAAAAGCAUAGCACAACUGCCACAACACAUAAUGGUGAGAAACCUUUUGAAUGCAGCAUUUGCAAGAAAACGUUUUCAAGAUCAAGCACCUUAGCAAGGCAUAAAGGAACUUCACGUACAUGCAAGGAGACAGACCAUGGGAGACCCAACCAAUGUGAUUUUGGUCAGGAUUUUGAGGAAACAGAGCCAGCUGAUAUGGGAUAUGUUUGUUCCUUGUGCAGUUGUGCAUUUGAUAAUCUUAUAAAGCUCCAAAAUCACAUGGAAACUCAUAGAAAUGUACAAACUGACAAAUGUGUUCUAUACAAAUGUGUUCUGACAAUGGACAUUGGAAAUGAAGAAUCCUCCAGAUUGCCAAAGUGCAAUGAAUCGGGGUCAGUGUAUGGCCAGGAAUGGGCAUAAUAUAUGAAUUUUCCCUUUCAUUCUAUUUAUUUAGUGGAAAUUUUAUUGUUAAAGUGGAAGUGAAGUCCGUUCUGCACAUCGGUUCUGCUCAUAAGUGAUAACAAUGUGAGGACCCUCUAAUUAAACAUUGCCCAAAUUUCGAAUGUUCCGAAUUUUUCUGAACAUAAACUGUAUUUCAUAUUCAUUUAGAAGCAUAGCGAACCAAAAUGGUGAGUACAUCAUAUUUUUAAAAUUACAGCAGUUCAAAAUGUAAACAAACCGUUUGUUUACAUACCGACUUGACUUCCACUUUAACGUUUUCUGGUUUAUUUUCUUACAGUGUUACAGUCAAACCGGAUGUUCGUUUCCACGGAAUAUUGCAACAUUGUUGGGAAUAUUGCAAUUUUGAUUGCGAGAUUGCUCUGAGCAAGUUGCAACUGACGUGAUCAAAUUACAAGUU
Paramuricea clavata is the source of this 2403-nucleotide non-coding RNA. The record is from the annotation of a GenBank genome assembly. Lineage: Eukaryota; Metazoa; Cnidaria; Anthozoa; Malacalcyonacea; Plexauridae.